Molecule: unclassified non-coding RNA, 220 nt
Filed under: Hevea brasiliensis (rubber tree)
Lineage: Eukaryota; Viridiplantae; Streptophyta; Magnoliopsida; Malpighiales; Euphorbiaceae
Source: RNAcentral
UUUUUUUUUUUUUUUCCUGGUGUAAUAGCUCACAUUGAUGCCACAAUCUGCGGCCACAAGCUUGAUUCACAUGAUGCAGAUACAUACCAUAGAUUGAUGAAUUGAGGCACUGCCACAAUACACUUCAGCAGUCAACUGCCAAAGUUAAACCUUCCAGUUAUUCUAGGCGGCAAUUCAACAUGACUGGAUUUGCCUUUAUUCACAGAACCUAGGCCCUGGA